This is a long non-coding RNA of Eurytemora carolleeae, 341 nucleotides long. RefSeq lists it as uncharacterized. The record is from RefSeq and is a predicted model, not a curated record. NCBI's taxonomy places the organism in Eukaryota, Metazoa, Arthropoda, Copepoda, Calanoida, Temoridae. The transcript has 3 exons.
AACAGAUAGGAAGUUACAAAUAUAAAUUGCACUUUCAAUAUAUCUAUCUAUCUAUCUAUUGGCUAAUUUCAAAAUUUUAAUAAAUAAUACUGUACUUUCUUAAAGGAUAAGAUUAUAAUGACGACUUUAAAAUUACUUCUUUAAAUUCCACGAAUUGAGGAUCUUAAAAUAUCUCACCACACAGGGAGAUGUCCUAUAUUAAUUAAAAUGGCUUCGUCUCUGAAAGCUCUGCAAGAGACUCACAAACACUGAGUAUUAGUUAUUUUAUAGGUUUAAACAGGCCAUAUUCAGCAAAUACCCAACCAACCUGGAAACGACGAUAUCCAAGAGGAGCCUGAAAA